UACGAAGGGGGCUAGCGUUGCUCGGAAUUACUGGGCGUAAAGCGCACGUAGGCGGCUUUCUAAGUCGGGGGUGAAAUCCUGGAGCUCAACUCCAGAACUGCCCUUGAUACUGGACGUCUCGAGUCCGGGAGAGGUGAGUGGAACUGCGAGUGUAGAGGUGAAAUUCGUAGAUAUUCGCAAGAACACCAGUGGCGAAGGCGGCUCACUGGCCCGGUACUGACGCUGAGGUGCGAAAGCGUGGGGAGCAA
Molecule: ribosomal RNA, 248 nt
Filed under: uncultured bacterium
Lineage: Bacteria
Description: partial 16S ribosomal RNA
Rfam family: Bacterial small subunit ribosomal RNA
Source: RNAcentral